This 433-nucleotide ribosomal RNA is filed under the name uncultured bacterium. Its description in RNAcentral is "partial 16S ribosomal RNA". It matches the Rfam family "Bacterial small subunit ribosomal RNA", at positions 29 to 507 of the family's 1533-position model. The record is from RNAcentral.
AACGAACGCUGGCGGCAUGCCUAACACAUGCAAGUCGAACGAGACCUUCGGGUCUAGUGGCGCACGGGUGCGUAACGCGUGGGAACCUGCCCUUAGGUUCGGAAUAACUCCCCGAAAGGGGUGCUAAUACCGGAUAAUGUCUUCGGACCAAAGAUUUAUCGCCUUUGGAUGGGCCCGCGUUGGAUUAGCUAGUUGGUAGGGUAAAAGCCUACCAAGGCGACGAUCCAUAGCUGGUCUGAGAGGAUGAUCAGCCACACUGGGACUGAGACACGGCCCAGACUGCUACGGGAGGCAGCAGUGGGGAAUAUUGGACAAUGGGCGAAAGCCUGAUCAAGCAAUGCCGCGUGAGUGAUGAAGGCCUUAGGGUUGUAAAGCUCUUUUACACGGGAUGAUAAUGACAGUACCGGGAGAAUAAGCACCGGCUAACUCCGUG